UGGGGAAUUGUUCGCAAUGGGCGCAAGCCUGACGACGCAACGCCGCGUGGAGGAUGAAGAUUUUCGGAUCGUAAACUCCUGUCGAAUGGGACGAAUGGCCUGGCCGUGAACAGCGGCCGGGAAUGACGGUACCGUGAGAGGAAGCCCCGGCUAACUCCGUGCCAGCAGCCGCGGUAAUACGGGGGGGGCAAGCGUUGUUCGGAAUUACUGGGCGUAAAGGGCUCGUAGGUGGCCGCCUAAGUCCGACGUGAAAUCCCUCGGCUCAACCGGGGAACUGCGUCGGAUACUGGGUGGCUUGAAUCCGGGAGAGGGACGUGGAAUUCCAGGUGUAGCGGUGAAAUGCGUAGAUAUCUGGAGGAACACCGGUGGCGAAGGCGGCGUCCUGGACCGGUAUUGACACUGAGGAGCGAAAGCCAGGGGAGCAAACGGGAUUAGAUACCCCGGUAGUCCUGGCCCUAAACGAUGAGUGCUUGGUGUGGCGGGUAUCGAUCCCCGCUGUGCCGGAGCUAACGCGUUAAGCACUCCGCCUGGGGAGUACGGUCGCAAGGCUG
Molecule: ribosomal RNA, 551 nt
Filed under: uncultured bacterium
Lineage: Bacteria
Description: bacterial SSU rRNA
Rfam family: Bacterial small subunit ribosomal RNA
Source: RNAcentral